Molecule: transfer RNA, 67 nt
Filed under: Cyrtopodion scabrum
Lineage: Eukaryota; Metazoa; Chordata; Lepidosauria; Squamata; Gekkonidae
Description: tRNA-Arg
Source: RNAcentral
UGGUGCCUAGUCUAACAAAGACCCCUAAUUUCGACUUAGGAAAUCCUACCAAACCCAGGGACACCAU